UACGGGGGGGGCAAGCGUUGUUCGGAAUUACUGGGCGUAAAGGGCUCGUAGGCGGCCAACUAAGUCAGACGUGAAAUCCCUCGGCUUAACCGGGGAACUGCGUCUGAUACUGGAUGGCUAGAGAUUGGGAGAGGGAUGCGGAAUUCCAGGUGUAGCGGUGAAAUGCGUAGAUAUCUGGAGGAACACCGGUGGCGAAGGCGGCAUCCUGGACCAACACUGACACUGAAGAACGAAAGCCAGGGGAGCAAACGGG
This 253-nucleotide ribosomal RNA is filed under the name uncultured bacterium. RNAcentral describes it as "partial 16S ribosomal RNA". It matches the Rfam family "Bacterial small subunit ribosomal RNA", at positions 524 to 776 of the family's 1533-position model. The record is from RNAcentral.